Molecule: ribosomal RNA, 253 nt
Filed under: uncultured bacterium
Lineage: Bacteria
Description: partial 16S ribosomal RNA
Rfam family: Bacterial small subunit ribosomal RNA
Source: RNAcentral
UACGAAGGGGGCUAGCGUUGCUCGGAAUCACUGGGCGUAAAGCGCACGUAGGCGGACUUUUAAGUCGGAGGUGAAAUCCUGGAGCUCAACUCCAGAACUGCCUUUGAUACUGAAGAUCUUGAGUUCGGGAGAGGUGAGUGGAACUGCGAGUGUAGAGGUGAAAUUCGUAGAUAUUCGCAAGAACACCAGUGGCGAAGGCGGCUCACUGGCCCGAUACUGACGCUGAGGCACGAAAGCGUGGGGAGCAAACAGG